This 1405-nucleotide long non-coding RNA is filed under the name Theobroma cacao (cacao). RNAcentral describes it as "long non-coding RNA (TCAC_LNC002401)". The record is from RNAcentral. Lineage: Eukaryota; Viridiplantae; Streptophyta; Magnoliopsida; Malvales; Malvaceae.
AUUAAUCGAGCGAUAGAUCGAAUUAGGCUAAUACCAUUUUAUUUAGGUACAUAAUUGAAUUUAUAUUGAACACCGUAUUGAGAUAGUUACCCAAGUAUUUCACAUCCCAUUUCAUGCAUUAGUAUAAAGCCUGAAUUGGUUUUACAACGGUUUAGCACAAAUGUAGUAAAUGGCUUAUUGUGCAUUAUGUCUAGGUGGUGAGCUUUCUGGCAAAAGUAAAGAGAUAGUACUCGAGGAUUAAGAAUCAGAGUACUCAGAAUUCGACUUCCGAAAUAGUGAGUAACCUUACUAUCGUCUUAAUUAUCUAAAGUGGUUUUUAUCCGAUUUUGUGGUUUUUAUCCGAUUUUGUGAUUUUAUGGAAAAUGAGUUUAAAUGGUAAAUCUUUAUGUUUUAUAAGCAAAAAUGUGAUUAAAUGAAAUGAUUUUGUAAAAUUGUUUUGAAAUUGAAUGAUGGUUUUGAAAAUGGAGCAAUUGGAGACUAAUUGCUGUGUUAUAAAUCAUGGUUUGAAUUGAAUGGCUUAUGAUAAUAUUAGCAUGAAUAGUUGAAUUGGUAUUUGUGUUGAAAAUGUAUGAACUGUUAAUUUGCCUUGAGAGGCUGUAAAAUAAAAUAAUUGCCAUGUCAUGCUGUUGAAUUUUAUUGAAUUGAUGGGUUAUAUAUUAGUCGCUGCAGUGGAUGGGUUCCGUGGAUCAGCCUAUUAGAGGGGCACGGUAACCCUAUUAUAUUCAUACCUCAGUAUGAGAGGCGCGGUUGGAUAACUCCUGAGGUUAAAACUUUAGAGUUCACUUCACACUAAACCACCACGUGAGGGUGAACUCAGCCAACGCCAAGGAACGACUAUGUUUUCAAAAUAAAAACAUGAUUUAUACGUACAUAACUUUUUAACAGCCUUGGCGAACUCGGUUGGGAUAGCCCUCAGCCAAGGUAUCCCUAAUAACUGAGUAUGAGAAUGAUUUUGGCACGAGCCAAAGUUUUAAGAAAUUCAUAAGCCAUGUUGAUUUCUCAAUUUAUAUGAAUUGAUUUUAUUUGGUUGAAAUGAGUUGAAAGGUGAUGAAUUACAACAUGUUAAACUAUUUUAUCUGUCUUCAUUUACUCAACUUUAGAUAUUUUAGAUGGUAUUUGUUUACUCACUGGGAUUAUAUAAUCUCACCACCUUCCUUUCCACCCAUUUCAGGCUCAAGAUUGUCGGUAGAUAGCUCAUUUCGUUGAGGGCUACAGUUGGACUUGCAUCCUAAAAAACUGUAGGUUUACCGCUUUUGAUACUUUUGGUCGUUCAUGGGCCCAUGUGUCACUGUAAAUAAAAUUUUAUACUUUGGUUAUCUGUAUUACAGUAUUUAUGAAUUUAUUUAGCUUUUACGCUACAAAAAUUAUUUACCGGUAACUCUAUAAAUAUUAUUUUACAAGAAAA